RNAcentral lists this ribosomal RNA (449 nucleotides) under uncultured bacterium. RNAcentral describes it as "partial 16S ribosomal RNA". It matches the Rfam family "Bacterial small subunit ribosomal RNA", at positions 29 to 523 of the family's 1533-position model. The record is from RNAcentral.
AACGAACGCUGGCGGCAUGCCUAACACAUGCAAGUCGAACGAGAUCUUCGGGUCUAGUGGCGCACGGGUGCGUAACGCGUGGGAAUCUGCCCUUUGGUUCGGAAUAACAGUUGGAAACGACUGCUAAUACCGGAUGAUGACGAAAGUCCAAAGAUUUAUCGCCAGAGGAUGAGCCCGCGUAGGGUUAGCUAGUUGGUGGGGUAACGGCGCACCAAGGCGACGGUCCUUAGCUGGUCUGAGAGGAUGAUCAGCCACACUGGGACUGAGAAACGCGCCAGACUCCUACGGGAGGCAGCAGUGGGGAAUAUUGGACAAUGGGCGAAAGCCUGAGCCAGCAAUGCCGCGUGAGUGAUGAAGGCCUUAGGGUUGUAAAGCCCUUUUACCCGGGAUGAUAAUGACAGUACCGGGAGAAUAAGCUCCGGCUAACUCCGUGCCAGCCGCCGCGGUAA